UCCUGGCUUAGGAUGAACGCUAGCGACAGGCUUAACACAUGCAAGCGAGGGCAGCAUAGAAGUAGCAAUACUUGGUGGCGACCGGCGCACGGGUGAGUAACGCGUAUGCAACCUACUAUCAGAGGGAACUAACCCGGCGAAAGUCGGACUAAUACCGCAUAAAACAGGGGCACCGCAUGGUGAUAUUUGUUAAGAAAUUCGCUGAUAGAUGGGCAUGCGUUCCAUUAGGUAGUUGGUGAGGUAACGGCUCACCAAGCCGACGAUGGAUAGGGGAACUGAGAGGUUGGUCCCCCACACUGGUACUGAGACACGGACCAGACUCCUACGGGAGGCAGCAGUGAGGAAUAUUGGUCAAUGGGCGGGAGCCUGAACCAGCCAAGUCGCCGUGAAGGAAGAAGGAUCUAUGGUUCGUAAACUUCUUUUGCAGGGGAAUAAAGUGCAGGACGUGUCCUGUUUUGUAUGUACCCUGAGAAUAAGGAUCGGCUAACUCCGUGCCAGCCGCCGC
This 505-nucleotide ribosomal RNA is filed under the name uncultured bacterium. RNAcentral's name for it is "bacterial SSU rRNA". It matches the Rfam family "Bacterial small subunit ribosomal RNA", at positions 17 to 518 of the family's 1533-position model. The record is from RNAcentral.